Molecule: unclassified non-coding RNA, 359 nt
Filed under: Hevea brasiliensis (rubber tree)
Lineage: Eukaryota; Viridiplantae; Streptophyta; Magnoliopsida; Malpighiales; Euphorbiaceae
Source: RNAcentral
AGUUAUCUCCUAUAUUAAUUUGGAGUUCUACAUUGGUUAGGAAUCCUUUCUUAACAAGGAUAUCCUACAAACAUCUAUUUCUAUAACACUCCCCCUCAAAUUGAAGCAUAGAUGUUAAUCAUAACCAACUUGUUACAAAUGUAAUCAACUUGAGCUCCAUUCAAAGUUUUUGUAAACAUAUCUCCUAAUUGCUCUCCAAUUUUGAUAUUGUGUUGAGAUGACCCCUUGUUGAAGCUUUUCAUAGACAAAAUGACAAUUAAUCUCAAUAUGCUUGUUCCGUUCAUGGAACACAGGGUUAGAAGCAAUAUUGAAAGCAACUUGAUUAUCACACCACAAAUAUACAGGCAAAGAGAUCUUAA